CUAGGUUUUGGACAUCUGACGUCGCAACUUACUCGAAAACGAUUGAAUUUUUUACCGUAGCCUACACAUGUGUCAAUAUGAAACCUCGUCAAGUUUCGUGAUUUUCUAACUUCGUAUACAUUUAAUAUAAUUUUAAAUCAAUUUUCUGAAAAGCGGGUAAUCAUGUGACGCGUAAAAGAUGCGUGAAAUUUGAUUCGAGUUUAUGCAUAGAGACUCCACACACAUCAAAUAACAUGAAUAACAUUUUUUGAAAGACUACAGUUAAUUAUAUCAUGCACCUGU
RNAcentral lists this long non-coding RNA (282 nucleotides) under Sorghum bicolor (sorghum). RNAcentral's name for it is "long non-coding RNA (SBIC_LNC018850)". Lineage: Eukaryota; Viridiplantae; Streptophyta; Magnoliopsida; Poales; Poaceae. The record is from RNAcentral.